This 253-nucleotide ribosomal RNA is filed under the name uncultured bacterium. Its description in RNAcentral is "partial 16S ribosomal RNA". It matches the Rfam family "Bacterial small subunit ribosomal RNA", at positions 524 to 776 of the family's 1533-position model. The record is from RNAcentral.
UACGUAGGGGGCGAGCGUUGUCCGGAAUCAUUGGGCGUAAAGCGCGCGCAGGCGGUCUUUCACGUCCGGGGUGAAAGCCCAGAGCUCAACUCUGGGAUUGCCUUGGAUACGGGGAGACUUGAGGGUCGGAGAGGCAAGGGGAAUUCCUGGUGUAGCGGUGAAAUGCGCAGAUAUCAGGAGGAACACCAAUGGCGAAGGCAGCUCGCUGGGACGGUACUGACACUGAGACGCGAAAGCGUGGGGAGCAAACAGG